GGCGGAGCCGGGAUUAGAACCCAUGACCUCGGACUCCCAAGCCCGUGCUCUUGCCACCGCUUUCUUCUUUGACCGAAGAACACCUUUCAGCAACGAGUUAAGAGAUUGCUAUUUUGUUCUUGGGAACUGAGUCCUUCUCCCUUCACUAGUGCCUCCAGAAGAUAUGACAGGAGCUCAACAGCACCUGCUUCAGUUCUGAAUCCCCAGGGGAGUCCUCCUGUUACUGCAUGGAAUCGGGAUGGGGAGUGGGGAAGGGACAGGGAGAAAAACACUUCCUUCUCUGUCCCCAUAGAUGUUUAGCUUUGGAGAUCUCCCUCCGAACCGUCUCCCUCUGACCCCCAAGAAUGGAUGACCUUCCUGCCGAGGGGGUUUGGAGGCUGGCGACGGACGCCCGAGAGGAGACCAGCUGCAUAAAGAUCCGAGGAUGGCGGAGGAGGUCCAGAAGGCUGCGUUGGAGUUGAGUUGUUUUCAGGCUCCUCACCGCUCAGGCAGACUGGAAACACGUUGAGGGCAAGGAUCACAUCUACCAACUCUACUGGAUUGGAUUCUCCCAAACGCUUAGUCCGGUGAACAGAAGUGCCAGGGUGCCGAGAUGACCACUGAUGAUCUAACUGGGGUCCAGAAGCGAGAGUCCGGAGUGCUACAUUCUUCCCAAGAUGGUGGUUGCACAUCUGUGGAUCCCCCUCCCCAUCUAUGUCUAAUCAUGUGACCAAUCAGACCCCCAACACUUGAACCUGUCUGCUCAAGCUUGCUAGAGCCUGACAUCCCUCUGCCGUCCUUCUCUUCCUCUUUCGAAUGUCUGGAGCUGGACAAGCUGGAGUUAAAAGUCCAAUUUUUCGUU
This is a long non-coding RNA of Ornithorhynchus anatinus (platypus), 841 nucleotides long. RefSeq lists it as uncharacterized. The transcript is spliced from 2 exons. NCBI's taxonomy places the organism in Eukaryota, Metazoa, Chordata, Mammalia, Monotremata, Ornithorhynchidae. The record is from RefSeq and is a predicted model, not a curated record.